AUUGUUCACAAUGGGCGCAAGCCUGAUGACGCAACGCCGCGUGGAGGAUGAAGGUCUUCGGAUUGUAAACUCCUGUUGCUCGGGACGAAAAGCUACGACCUAAUACGUCGGAGUCUGACGGUACCGAGUGAGGAAGCCCCGGCUAACUCUGUGCCAGCAGCCGCGGUAAUACAGGGGGGGCAAGCGUUGUUCGGAAUUACUGGGCGUAAAGGGGGCGUAGGCGGCCUGUUAAGUCGAACGUGAAAUCCCUAGGCCCAACCUAGGAACUGCGUCCGAUACUGGCAGGCUUGAAUUCGGGAGAGGGAUGCGGAAUUCCAGGUGUAGCGGUGAAAUGCGUAGAUAUCUGGAGGAACACCGGUGGCGAAGGCGGCAUCCUGGACCGAGAUUGACGCUGAGGCGCGAAAGCCAGGGGAGCAAAC
Molecule: ribosomal RNA, 419 nt
Filed under: uncultured bacterium
Lineage: Bacteria
Description: bacterial SSU rRNA
Rfam family: Bacterial small subunit ribosomal RNA
Source: RNAcentral